CACGUAGGGGGCGAGCGUUGUCCGGAUUUAUUGGGCGUAAAGAGCUCGUAGGCGGUUCAGUAAGUCGGGUGUGAAAACUCUGGGCUCAACCCGGAGACGCCACCCGAUACUGCUGUGACUAGAGUCCGGUAGGGGAGUGUGGAACUCCUGGUGUAGCGGUGAAAUGCGCAGAUAUCAGGAAGAACACCAGCGGCGAAGGCGGCACUCUGGGCCGGUACUGACGCUGAGGAGCGAAAGCGUGGGUAGCAAACAGG
Molecule: ribosomal RNA, 254 nt
Filed under: uncultured prokaryote
Description: partial 16S ribosomal RNA
Rfam family: Bacterial small subunit ribosomal RNA
Source: RNAcentral